This 476-nucleotide long non-coding RNA is filed under the name Homo sapiens (human). Its description in RNAcentral is "non-protein coding lnc-RPL7A-2:1". Lineage: Eukaryota; Metazoa; Chordata; Mammalia; Primates; Hominidae. The record is from RNAcentral.
AUGACGAACACAAAGGGAAAGAGGAGAGGCACCCAAUAUAUGUUCUCUAGGCCUUUCAGAAAACAUGCAGUUGUUCCUUUGGCCAAGUAUAUGCAAAUUGAUGAGAAAGGUGAUAUUGUAGAUAUCAAGGGAAUGGGUACUGUUCAAAAAGGAAUGCCCCACAAAUGUCACCAUGGCUAGACUGGGAGAGUCUACAGUGUUCCCCAGCAUGCUGUUGGCACUGUUGUAAACAAGUAAGGGCAAGAUUCUUGCCAAGAGAAUGAAUGUGCAUAUUCAGCACACUAAGCACUCUAAGAGCCGAGAGAGCUUCCUGAAACGCGUGAAGGAAAAUGAUCAGAAAAAGAGGGAAGCCAAAGAGAAAGGUACCUGGAUUCAACUGAAGCGCCAGCCUGCUCCACCCAGAGCAGCACACUGUGAGAACCAAUGGGAAGGAGCCUGAGCUGCUGGAACCUCUUCCCUAUGAAUUCAUGGCAUCG